This 608-nucleotide ribosomal RNA is filed under the name Acinetobacter sp. RNAcentral describes it as "bacterial SSU rRNA". It matches the Rfam family "Bacterial small subunit ribosomal RNA", at positions 57 to 660 of the family's 1533-position model. Lineage: Bacteria; Pseudomonadati; Pseudomonadota; Gammaproteobacteria; Moraxellales; Moraxellaceae. The record is from RNAcentral.
GCAGUCGAGCGGGGGAAGGUAGCUUGCUACCGGACCUAGCGGCGGACGGGUGAGUAAUGCUUAGGAAUCUGCCUAUUAGUGGGGGACAACAUCUCGAAAGGGAUGCUAAUACCGCAUACGUCCUACGGGAGAAAGCAGGGGAUCUUCGGACCUUGCGCUAAUAGAUGAGCCUAAGUCGGAUUAGCUAGUUGGUGGGGUAAAGGCCUACCAAGGCGACGAUCUGUAGCGGGUCUGAGAGGAUGAUCCGCCACACUGGGACUGAGACACGGCCCAGACUCCUACGGGAGGCAGCAGUGGGGAAUAUUGGACAAUGGGGGGAACCCUGAUCCAGCCAUGCCGCGUGUGUGAAGAAGGCCUUAUGGUUGUAAAGCACUUUAAGCGAGGAGGAGGCUACUUUAGUUAAUACCUAGAGAUAGUGGACGUUACUCGCAGAAUAAGCACCGGCUAACUCUGUGCCAGCAGCCGCGGUAAUACAGAGGGUGCGAGCGUUAAUCGGAUUUACUGGGCGUAAAGCGUGCGUAGGCGGCUUAUUAAGUCGGAUGUGAAAUCCCCGAGCUUAACUUGGGAAUUGCAUUCGAUACUGGUGAGCUAGAGUAUGGGAGAGGAUG